This is a long non-coding RNA of Protobothrops mucrosquamatus (brown spotted pit viper), 182 nucleotides long. RefSeq lists it as uncharacterized. The transcript has 3 exons. NCBI's taxonomy places the organism in Eukaryota, Metazoa, Chordata, Lepidosauria, Squamata, Viperidae. The record is from RefSeq and is a predicted model, not a curated record.
UUCCUGCAAAGAAGCAGUAUUGGUCAAAAUCGAGCACAGUGUGCUACAGAACUGCUGCAAGAGUUGAAUAAUGAUGUCUGUGGAAAUUUUGUGGAAGAGAACCCAGAUAAACUUCUAGACAACGAUCCUUCUUUUUUUUGUCGGUUUAAUGUAGUGAUUGCAACUCAACUCCCAGAAAGGUA